Myotis daubentonii (Daubenton's bat) is the source of this 256-nucleotide long non-coding RNA. RefSeq lists it as uncharacterized. The record is from RefSeq and is a predicted model, not a curated record. NCBI's taxonomy places the organism in Eukaryota, Metazoa, Chordata, Mammalia, Chiroptera, Vespertilionidae.
GGUGGCAGGCAGCAGUGGAGGUGCUGCCGGCCCAAUGGGCCCCAAUGAGAGCAGCACCAUGGUGGGAUGGUGGAGCAGGUGAGUGGGCGGUGCCAGGCCAAGGUGGGUGCAAGCGGGCGCCCCGAUUGCCCCACCGAUCAGCCCCGAUUGCCGGUCAGGCCUAGGGACCCUACCCAUGCAUGAAUUUCAUGCACUGGGCCUCUAGUAUUGAAUAAAAUGUUGUAUGCUAUUAUGCAGCCAUUAAAAAUAAUAGAUU